UUUUAUUUGAGAGUUUGAUCCUGGCUCAGGAUGAACGCUGGCGGCGUGCCUAACACAUGCAAGUCGAACGAAGCACCUU
RNAcentral lists this ribosomal RNA (79 nucleotides) under Anaerobutyricum hallii. RNAcentral's name for it is "[Eubacterium] hallii partial 16S ribosomal RNA". It matches the Rfam family "Bacterial small subunit ribosomal RNA", at positions 1 to 77 of the family's 1533-position model. Lineage: Bacteria; Bacillati; Bacillota; Clostridia; Lachnospirales; Lachnospiraceae. The record is from RNAcentral.